Molecule: ribosomal RNA, 253 nt
Filed under: uncultured bacterium
Lineage: Bacteria
Description: partial 16S ribosomal RNA
Rfam family: Bacterial small subunit ribosomal RNA
Source: RNAcentral
UACGUAGGGGGCAAGCGUUGUCCGGAUUUAUUGGGCGUAAAGAGCGUGUAGGCGGCCAUGCAGGUCCGUUGUGAAAACUCGAGGCUCAACCUCGAGACGCCGGUGGAAACCGUGUGGCUAGAGUCCGGAAGAGGAGAGUGGAAUUCAUGGUGUAGCAGUGAAAUGCGUAGAGAUCAUGAGGAAGACCAGUGGCGAAGGCGGGUCUCUGGACAGUUCCUGACACUGAGACACGAAGGCCAGGGGAGCAAACGGG